GGAGAGAUGGCUGAGUGGCUUAAAGCGUCGGAUUGCUAAUCCGUUGUACAAAUUUUUGUACCGAGGGUUCGAAUCCCUCUCUUUCCG
Molecule: transfer RNA, 87 nt
Filed under: Butea monosperma (flame-of-the-forest)
Lineage: Eukaryota; Viridiplantae; Streptophyta; Magnoliopsida; Fabales; Fabaceae
Also listed under: 3 other names
Description: tRNA-Ser
Rfam family: tRNA
About the family: Transfer RNA (tRNA) molecules are approximately 80 nucleotides in length.
Source: RNAcentral